GUGGGGAAUCUUGCGCAAUGGGCGAAAGCCUGACGCAGCCAUGCCGCGUGAAUGAUGAAGGUCUUAGGAUUGUAAAAUUCUUUCACCGGGGACGAUAAUGACGGUACCCGGAGAAGAAGCUCCGGCUAACUUCGUGCCAGCAGCCGCGGUAAUACGAAGGGGGCUAGCGUUGCUCGGAAUUACUGGGCGUCAAGGGCGCGUAGGCGGACAGCUUAGUCAGAGGUGAAAGCCCAGGGCUCAACCUUGGAAGUGCCUUUGAUACUGGCUGGCUUGAGUUUGGGAGAGGUGAGUGGAACUCCGAGUGUAGAGGUGAAAUUCGUAGAUAUUCGGAAGAACACCAGUGGCGAAGGCGACUCACUGGCCCAAUACUGACGCUGAGGCGCGAAAGCGUGGGGAGCAAACAGGAUUAGAAACCCCAGUAGUCC
Molecule: ribosomal RNA, 425 nt
Filed under: uncultured bacterium
Lineage: Bacteria
Description: partial 16S ribosomal RNA
Rfam family: Bacterial small subunit ribosomal RNA
Source: RNAcentral